CCCGCCGCAACAGUGCGGGAUGUUUUAAUCCCAGUGGUUUCGCCCUCCUGGCGCUCGCCAAGGUCCCCACGGACCCGGAACAGCCCCCAUCUAAUCAGCCGGGAAGAAAUAAGCGCAGCAAGACACUCUAGGAAAGUCAAUUUCCGUAGAGAGGAAUCUUCCAUUCUUCCUCCCAGAGGAUGUAAGCUGAUCUACCAUCAUUCUGGCUGCUGGGCAGGGAAAGUGAGGAGGCGUUCACCACCCACCUCCAGAUUGCAAGCUCCAGGAAGGCUGAGUUUGUGCUGCAUUUUAUUCACCGUUGUAUCCCC
Kogia breviceps (pygmy sperm whale) is the source of this 308-nucleotide non-coding RNA. Lineage: Eukaryota; Metazoa; Chordata; Mammalia; Artiodactyla; Physeteridae. The record is from RefSeq and is a predicted model, not a curated record.